Long non-coding RNA from Solenopsis invicta (red fire ant), 1321 nucleotides. RefSeq lists it as uncharacterized. NCBI's taxonomy places the organism in Eukaryota, Metazoa, Arthropoda, Insecta, Hymenoptera, Formicidae. The transcript is spliced from 6 exons. The record is from RefSeq and is a predicted model, not a curated record.
GUCCGUAAUAGAUCCACCUUUUCUUUACCGAUCGAUUGGUGCAUGUCCGUGCUAGAUCUGUGCUAUGGGCAGAAGUGAGAGAUACGUUAGUAAGGCAAAGACGGACAAUCAAACUCUGUCCGCCCUCUGUUUAGACCAUCAGUUAGAGAGAGAAAGCAUCGCGGUGGGGUAAGCCGACUUUUACCUCAAAAACUAGGCGAAAAUUGUUGGUAGCAGCGAAAUCCCCUAUGGCUACCUAAUUUCAUUUCUGCAGAUUGGUAACAUUGCGUAAGUAGUAAUCUGUCAGAUUGCGAGAAACCUUUUUAACAUAUGCAUGCGCGUAUGUGAGGCAUUACCAAUAAAAUUUGCUUUAUUUUCUCUUGUAAAUUGCAAUAAAGCAAUAAUGAGUGUAUUAUUGAUAAUAGAUCAUUUGACAUGUUUGUAUUUUUCUAAUCUAAAUCUGUUGUUUAUAUUUUUCUCUUUCGAAAUAGAAAAAUAUAAAUAGAAUAGAACUAUACUCGUUAUUGCUUGAUUGCAAUUUGCAAGGGAAGGUAAUGCAAAUUUUAUUAGUAGUGCCUCAAAAUACUACUGCGCGCGCACAAGUAGUGCUUAGUAGUAUUUUUCUACAAGGGUGCUUUUUAGUUUUGCAACGUGCCUAGAUGUUCUUUGCAGAGUCAAUGUCAUCAUCAUCGUAUCCCUGAAGAAUGAAAUAUCAGACAACUUUAGAAUUAGAGAUGGAAUUCUUUCAGAAACAUCAAGGAUCGAUUCAAAGGAGACGAUUUAUUUGACAGGACGUUAAAAAUAAAUAUUAAUAUACAAAUUAUUAACUGCAGUAUUUUAAUAAAUUUAUCUGCAAUAUUAUCUCUUUUCUUCAAUCUCGCCCAGAAUUUGGAGUGCUUCAAAAAACUGUGGAUGUUUUUUUGAUGUUCACUAAGGCACGAUCAUCUGCUGGAUCGUACAACGACUGACAAUGUAGAAAAAUGUAUAGAACGUCACAAAAAGAAAAAUCUUGGGCCCAACAAUUUGAACGAGCUGCAUUUAUGAUUACAGAAAAAUAACUGGAAACAGUUAUUAAAAAUGGAUGCAAUGGUACUUUUGAUACACUACCAAAGCCAAAAAAUAAAAAUUGUCAAUUAUGGACAAUUUUAAUUAGACAUGAUAAUAGAACAUUUUUAAUUGUGUAUGCAGUAAUGGAAGGACGGACUACUGAAAAUUAUAUUAAUGUACUAAGAAAAGUGGUAAAUAAUAUAAGUAUAAAACCAAAAAUAGCAAUUUGUGAUUUUGAAAAAGCAGAAAAAAGGCACUGCAAACACUGUUUCCGCAGGCAAGAAUUAUUGGAUGU